UUUGGAAGAACUGGUAUUCCAAACUGGAAGGGGUUUUCUGUAUUUAAUUUCCUCUCCGGAAGUUUACCUUCAGAAGUCCAAGUGUAAGGUCAAGCCUUGGGUUGCCGGAAAUGGUAAUGUCCUUUACUGUCUGAGCACCCAGACAGUACUUAAUGAAACAUCCUACUUUGUGGACAUUGCUGCUGCUGCUUCUGAAUUAUGAGGCAUGCCAUGCAUCACUUCUGCAGUGGAUAGCUUCAUUUUUUGCAAAGUGCAUGGAAUGAAGAUAGUGGGGAUGAUGACUGCAAGCACUGAAAGACCUAAAUGAAUGUGUCCAAAAUCGUAAUAACAUGAUUACGGGCACAGAAUUCAACAGUAAGAGGGAGCCAUGUUAUCAAGAAAGUCAGAAACACACAAGAGCACCAGGGUGUUUCUCAAGCUGCAUCAAAGUGAUCAGUGUGUGUACCCUAGGAAAACAGGACAGUAGUAUUGCAGGACACCUACGGGAAUUUGUGUUGUUGAAACAAAUCACAUUAUGGAAAUGGAGUUUGGAGAAAUGAGCACCAGAGGAAAUGUUUAUAAAAUCCCAAGGAUCCUGUUUAUAGAAGAUGAAAAAGGACAUUGGGAUGGGUUCUGCAAGGUUGUUAACAAUUUUGUUUGAUGACAGAAAAGGGAGAGUUUCCUUCCUACUUUCUAGUUUUAAAAAUAUUUCCCAGUACAUUUUGGAGCGAUGGUGAUAAAUACACUCAACAAUAGAGAAGCAUAUAUACAGUUCCAAGCUCAUUACA
This is a long non-coding RNA of Camelus dromedarius (Arabian camel), 767 nucleotides long. RefSeq lists it as uncharacterized. The transcript has 5 exons. The record is from RefSeq and is a predicted model, not a curated record. Lineage: Eukaryota; Metazoa; Chordata; Mammalia; Artiodactyla; Camelidae.